This is a transfer RNA of Neotoma lepida (desert woodrat), 76 nucleotides long. It matches the Rfam family "tRNA". From Rfam's summary of the family: Transfer RNA (tRNA) molecules are approximately 80 nucleotides in length. The record is from Rfam. Lineage: Eukaryota; Metazoa; Chordata; Mammalia; Rodentia; Cricetidae.
GGGGAGGUGGCUCAGAGGUUAAGAGCACUGACUGUUGUUCUUCCAGAGGUCCUGAGUUCAAUUCCCAGCAACCACA